AUUGAACGCUGGCGGCAUGCCUUACACAUGCAAGUCGAACGGUAACGCGGGGCAACCUGGCGACGAGUGGCGAACGGGUGAGUAAUAUAUCGGAACGUGCCCAGUAGUGGGGGAUAGCCCGGCGAAAGCCGGAUUAAUACCGCAUACGACCUACGGGUGAAAGUGGGGGACCGCAAGGCCUCACGCAGAAAGAUGAGCCGACGACCGAUUAGCUAGUUGGUAGGGUAAAGGCCUACCAAGGCGACGAUCGGUAGCUGGUCUGAGAGGAUGAUCAGCCACACUGGAACUGAGACACGGCCCAGACUCCUACGGGAGGCAGCAGUGGGGAAUUUUGGACAAUGGGCGCAAGCCUGAUCCAGCAAUGCCGCGUGCAGGAAGAAGGCCUUCGGGUUGUAAACUGCUUUUGUACGGAACGAAAAAGUCCAGGUUAAUACCCUGGGCCCAUGACGGUACCGUAAGAAUAAGCACCGGCUAACUACGUG
RNAcentral lists this ribosomal RNA (482 nucleotides) under uncultured bacterium. Its description in RNAcentral is "bacterial SSU rRNA". It matches the Rfam family "Bacterial small subunit ribosomal RNA", at positions 29 to 507 of the family's 1533-position model. The record is from RNAcentral.